CCUGGCACCGGAGUAUUUUGAGGAGCUCACAGGCUGGCAUUUUCUACAGGGCUGCACUUUACUCGUUCAUUCAUUCAUUUUCCCCAAUGACCAUUAGAUGAGAGAGAGAGCCACGGCAGCAGCAGGUGGACAUUAGGACCACUGUGGCCAGAACAGGCUGUUUAGGCCAACAGGCUCGUCCAUAGAGGUCAGGCAUAUGCCAGGUGUGGAAGCACAGGAGCCCACCCUAGACCCUGCAUGCGUGCUGCAUCGUCAGCCAGCGCAGAGGUUAUGUCAUCUUCUACCACCUGGAGGAAGAUGAGGGCUGAUCUUCAUCUCCUUCCCACCCCUCUCUCUUAAUCAGCCAAUGAAGCUUCAGGCACUCAGGCGAGGCCCUCCCACCCGUUCCUUGCUUUAUUGCAUGUAAAUAUUCUGUAGAGGGACACGGCUCGGGACAUUCGGUGCUUAGGGUCUGCGAGUCGCUGAAUGUAAUAAAGACCCCUUGGGGUGUCAGCAGUACACCAUUGCACAGGUGGGCCUCCAGGUGGUGCACUCGGUUCGGAGGUCUCCUAUGUAUUAAUGUGUAUAUCAUUUCUAUAUAGGACGUAGAUUCGUUAUAUCAAGAAAAUGUGGCCUGCAUGCCCGCAACAUGAGGGGAAAAGUGAGUGAGGUGCAUUCUGGGUAGAAGUGCGUCAUGUCUGCUCACCCCCAGAUGUUAGACUGUGCAGAGAUGACCAGAGAGAGAGUGAGGCCAGGCAGUGGACGGACAUCAGAGGUGACAACACCUGACCACUGGAGGAUACACGGCCCCCCGACAGAAAUGCACAGGACCCUGCUCUCC
Long non-coding RNA from Erpetoichthys calabaricus (reedfish), 820 nucleotides. RefSeq lists it as uncharacterized. The record is from RefSeq and is a predicted model, not a curated record. The transcript has 3 exons. NCBI's taxonomy places the organism in Eukaryota, Metazoa, Chordata, Cladistia, Polypteriformes, Polypteridae.